UACGAAGGGUGCAAGCGUUGCUCGGAUUUACUGGGCGUAAAGGGCGUGUAGGCGGCCUAAUUAGUGUAUGGUUAAAAACCGGAGCUCAACUUCGGGGGUACUGUGCAAACGGUUAGGCUAGAGUGUGUCAGAGGAUGGCGGAAUUCCUGGUGUAGAGGUGAAAUUCGUAGAGCUCAGGAGGAACAUCGGAGGCGAAGGCGGCUAUCUGGGGCAUUACUGACGCUGAGGCGCGAAAGCGUGGGGAUCAAACAGG
RNAcentral lists this ribosomal RNA (253 nucleotides) under uncultured bacterium. RNAcentral describes it as "partial 16S ribosomal RNA". It matches the Rfam family "Bacterial small subunit ribosomal RNA", at positions 524 to 776 of the family's 1533-position model. The record is from RNAcentral.